This 356-nucleotide ribosomal RNA is filed under the name uncultured bacterium. RNAcentral's name for it is "partial 16S ribosomal RNA". It matches the Rfam family "Bacterial small subunit ribosomal RNA", at positions 338 to 691 of the family's 1533-position model. The record is from RNAcentral.
CCUACGGGAGGCUGCAGUGAGGAAUAUUGGUCAAUGGACGCAAGUCUGAACCAGCCAUGCCGCGUGCAGGAAGACGGCGCUAUGAGUUGUAAACUGCUUUUGUACGAGGGUAAACGCAGAUACGCGUAUCUGUCUGAAAGUAGCGUACGAAUAAGGAACGGCUAACUCCGUGCCAGCAGCCGCGGUAAUACGGAGGAUUCAAGCGUUAUCCGGAUUUAUUGGGUUUAAAGGGUGCGUAGGCGGUCGGAUAAGUUAGAGGUGAAAUCCCGCGGCUCAACUUCGGAAUUGCCUCUGAUACUGUUCGGCUAGAGCUUAGUUGCGGUAGGCGGAAUGUAUGGUGUAGCGGUGCAAUGCUU